GGAGGGUGCAAGCGUCAUCCGGAUUCACUGGGUUUAAAGGGUGCGUAGGUGGGUUGGUAAGUCAGUGGUGAAAUCUCCGAGCUUAACUUGGAAACUGCCAUUGAUACUAUCAGUCUUGAAUACCGUGGAGGUCAGCGGAAUAUGUCAUGUAGCGGUGAAAUGCUUAGAUAUGACAUAGAACACCAAUUGCGAAGGCAGCUGACUACGCGAAUAUUGACACUGAUGCACGAAAGCGUGGGGAUCAAACAGGAUUAGAUACCCUGGUAGUCCACGCCCUAAACGAUGGAUACUCGACAUACGCGAUACACUGUGUGUGUCUGAGCGAAAGCAUUAAGUAUCCCACCUGGGAAGUACGAUCGCAAGAUUG
Molecule: ribosomal RNA, 367 nt
Filed under: uncultured bacterium
Lineage: Bacteria
Description: bacterial SSU rRNA
Rfam family: Bacterial small subunit ribosomal RNA
Source: RNAcentral